UAGUCCACGCCCUAAACGAUGGAUACUAGUUGUCGGGACACCUAAUCGUCUCGGUAACGCAGCUAACGCAAUAAGUAUCCCGCCUGGGAAGUACGAUCGCAAGAUUGAAACUCAAAGGAGUUGACGGGGGCCCGCACAAGCGGUGGAGCAUGUGGUUUAAUUCGAUGAUACGCGAGGAACCUUACCAGGGCUUAAAUGUAGUCUGACAGCUUUAGAGAUAGAGUUUUCUUCGGACAGAUUACAAGGUGCUGCAUGGUUGUCGUCAGCUCGUGCCGUGAGGUGUCAGGUUAAGUCCUAUAACGAGCGCAACCCCUGUUGUUAGUUGCCAGCGAGUAAUGUCGGGAACUCUAGCAAGACUGCCGGUGCAAACCGCGAGGAAGGUGGGGAUGACGUCAAAUCAUCACGGCCCUUACGUCCUGGGCUACACACGUGCUACAAUGGUCAGUACAGAGGGCAGCCACUACGCGAGUAGGAGCGAAUCCUUAAAACUGAUCUCAGUUCGGAUCGG
This 508-nucleotide ribosomal RNA is filed under the name uncultured bacterium. RNAcentral's name for it is "bacterial SSU rRNA". It matches the Rfam family "Bacterial small subunit ribosomal RNA", at positions 791 to 1301 of the family's 1533-position model. The record is from RNAcentral.